GACGAACGCUUGCGGCGUGCCUAAUACAUGCAAGUCGAGCGGCAGCACGGUCUUCGGACUGGUGGCGAGCGGCGGACGGCUGAGUAACGCGUGGGAACGUGCCCCAAAGUGAGGAAUAACUGCCCGAAAGGGUGGCUAAUGCCGCAUAUGAUCUUCGGAUUAAAGGAUUUAUCCGCUUUGGGAGCGGCCCGCGUUAGAUUAGGUAGUUGGUAGGGUAAUGGCCUACCAAGCCGACGAUCUAUAGCUGGUCUGAGAGGAUGAUCAGCCAGACUGGAACUGAGACACGGUCCAGACUCCUACGGGAGGCAGCAGUGAGGAAUCUUCCACAAUGGGCGAAAGCCUGAUGGAGCAACGCCGCGUGAAGGAUGAAGGCCCUCGGGUCGUAAACUUCUUUUAUAAGUGAAGAAUAUGACGGUAACUUAUGAAUAAGCACCGGCUAACUACGUGCCAGCCGCCGCAGUAA
Molecule: ribosomal RNA, 463 nt
Filed under: uncultured bacterium
Lineage: Bacteria
Description: partial 16S ribosomal RNA
Rfam family: Bacterial small subunit ribosomal RNA
Source: RNAcentral